Molecule: long non-coding RNA, 503 nt
Organism: Centruroides sculpturatus (bark scorpion)
Lineage: Eukaryota; Metazoa; Arthropoda; Arachnida; Scorpiones; Buthidae
Exons: 3
Source: RefSeq, a predicted model, not a curated record
CCGGGUGGUCACAUUCGGCCGACCUGUCUUCCCAAACAGAUAUUGAGGAUUGAGCCGGUUAGGUUAGGCUAGGUCAGGUCCUUCGCUCUUCUCAUAACAUUGUUCGGAAACAAAGGCUGCUUGAUAAAGGAAUAUUUGGGAAGGAGAAGAAUCUCCCUCUCCAACUUUACCACAAUGAAGACGAAGUGGUUAUUUAUCGUACAAGUGAAUAUUUUCUGAAAUCUCCGAUGACAUGCCGAAGAUGUUUUUCAAUCACACACAUACACAUACACGCACGGACAUAACACGACUGUACACGAAGAUAUACACCGUUUAACCUUUGCUCGAAUUCUCGCAUUCACGCUUUUACAAGUCAAGCGCCUCGUUCUGUGUAAUUCGACACAAUGAAACAACUGGAACACUCGCUUCCCACAAAUCCAACCCCUGGGUCCUCGUCCCGGGAAGUGGAAACGCCAAUUUUAAAGAUUAAAAGACUUUAAAUUGGCGGCCGAAGGGGCUCUGGU